CCUACGGGAGGCAGCAGUGGGGAAUAUUGGGCAAUGGAGGAAACUCUGACCCAGCGACGCCGCGUGCGGGAUGAAGGCCUUCGGGUUGUAAACCGCUUUCAGUAGGGAAGAAGCGAAAGUGACGGUACCUACAAAAGAAGCACCGGCUAACUAUGUGCCAGCAGCCGCGGUAAUACAUAGGGUGCAAGCGUUGUCCGGAAUUAUUGGGCGUAAAGAGCUCGUAGGUCGUUUGUUACGUCGGAUGUGAAAACCUGAGGCUCAACCUCAGGCCUGCAUUCGAUACGGGCAAACUAGAGUUUGGUAGGGGAGACUGGAAUUCCUGGUGUAGCGGUGGAAUGCGCAGAUAUCAGGAGGAACACCAAUGGCGAAGGCAGGUCUCUGGGCCAAUACUGACACUGAGGAGCGAAAGUCUGGGGAGCGAACAGGAUUAGAUACCCUGGUAGUCCAGACCGUAAACGGUGGGCACUAGUUGUGGGAACCUUCCACGGUUUCUGCGACGCAGCUAACGCAUUAAGUGCCCCGCCUGGGGAGUACGAUCGCAAGAUUAAAACUCAAAGANAUGCGNGNGAGNGCGACGAGACGACGACGAGGAG
Molecule: ribosomal RNA, 593 nt
Filed under: uncultured bacterium
Lineage: Bacteria
Description: bacterial SSU rRNA
Rfam family: Bacterial small subunit ribosomal RNA
Source: RNAcentral